Zea mays is the source of this 4210-nucleotide RNA transcript. It is a transcript of the gene named kinesin-like protein KIN-7I, with no coding region annotated. Lineage: Eukaryota; Viridiplantae; Streptophyta; Magnoliopsida; Poales; Poaceae. The record is from RefSeq and is a predicted model, not a curated record. The transcript is spliced from 31 exons.
GGUUUCAGCAGCGGGAAAACCAAAAACGAAACCUAUCUCACCGCAGAGUCUCCUCACCGCAGUACCAGACUCCGGCCGAACCGCACCUCUGCCCCCUUCCUCCCGGAGGCUCAGGGCCUGUGGCGCACGUCUAUGGAGCGGAUCCACGUAGCGGUGCGCUCGCGGCCGCUCUCCCCGGAGGACUCGCGGAGCAGCCCGUGGAAGAUCUCGGGCAACGCAAUCGCUCACUCCGCGCAGUCCUCCUCCCGCUUCGAGUUCGACAGGAUAUUCGGCGAGGAGUGCCGCACUGCCGAGGUCUACCAGGCCCGCAUCAAGCACAUCGUCGAUAACGUGGUCCGAGGGUUCAAUGGCACUGUUUUUGCAUAUGGUCAAACUAACAGUGGGAAGACCUUCACAAUGAGAGGAUCGGCUAAUGAACCUGGAAUAAUACCGCUUGCAGUUCAUGACUUAUUCCAGCGUAUUCAAGAGCAUAUGGACAGAGAGUUUCUUGUGCGGAUGUCCUACAUGGAAAUUUACAAUGAAGAUAUUAAUGACCUUCUUGUGCCUGAACAUCGAAAAUUGCAGAUUCAUGAGAGUAUUGAGAAAGGGAUCUUUGUUGCUGGUUUAAGGGAAGAAAUUGUUACAUGCGCGGAACAGGUCAUGGAUUUCAUGUCUUUUGGAGAAUCCCACCGGCAUAUCGGAGAGACAAACAUGAAUCUUUAUAGCAGUCGUUCUCACACUAUAUUUCGCAUGGUAAUCGAGAGUAGAGAAAAAGGCGAUGACAAUGAAGUUGAAGAUUUUUGUGAUGCUGUACGAGUAUCUGUUUUGAACCUUGUUGACUUAGCUGGCUCAGAACGCGCUGCAAAGACUGGUGCAGAGGGUGUGAGACUUAAGGAGGGUUCUCAUAUUAACAAAAGUCUCAUGACUCUUGGUACGGUCAUAAAGAAACUUAGUGAAGGCAUUGAGAGUCAAGGGGGACAUGUGCCAUACCGUGAUAGUAAACUGACAAGGAUACUGCAGCCUGCUCUGGGUGGAAAUUCUAACACAGCUAUCAUCUGCAAUAUAACACUUGCACAGAUCCACACUGAUGAGACAAAAAGCAGUUUGCAAUUUGCGAGUAGAGCAUUACGUGUAACAAACUGUGCAUGCGUUAAUGAGAUUUUGACAGAUGCUGCAUUAUUAAAACGCCAAAGGAAAGAAAUAGAAGAGCUUCGAGCAAAACUUAGAAAAUCUGAAAGUGAUCAUUGGGAGGAAGAAAUUCUGAAUCUGCGAAACACACUACUGCAGAGUGAAUUGGAAAAGGAAAGAAUCUCUUUAGAGCUGGAGGAGGAAAAGAAAGCUAAAGAGCAGCGUGACAGAUGCUUGAUUGAACAGGCAAAGAAAAUUGAAAAUCUUAGUUCACUGGUUUUAAAUUCAGACAGAGAUGACAGGAGUACUGCUUUUAGUAAGAACAAAAGAAGGGUAACAUGGUGUCCUGGACCAAAUGCAAAGCAAUUUGAUAUUGAGGAUUUAAGACCUGUCCAGGAAGGCUCUACAAGCAGCACAGUUAGAAAUGAACGGGAUAUGGGAAUGCCACCACUUUUUGAAGAGUUAAUGCAAGAAAGUAAUGAUGAGCCUUGUGCUAACGUUUACUCAUCUGGACCUGGUAAUGUGUCCAAAGACAGUGAAGACGUCCCUCUUCCUGACUCGCAUGCUUUGCUGCAUGUUACCAACAGAAGAAAGCCAAAGGCAAUGAAGAAAUCAGAUCAAGAGCAAUUCAGGGGGAGAGCUGGUGAACUAUUAAUACCCCAGGACCCCUGUGAUGGGAAUGAUGCUCUACGCCACAAAAACACUGUGCCUUGUGUAGUUAGUAGCUUAUCUUCUCGAGAAUCUGAAGCCAUUCUUGUCAUCAAACAACUUCAAGAUCAGAUCAAGCUGCUGGAGGCAGAGAAGAGUUCUGUUCAAACUAAUUUGGAUGCUGUUCUUGUGCUGGCAACUCAACAGAAGGUUUCAUUUAAUGAGGAGUAUGAAGAGCUUCAGCAGAUCACUCUAGCUGCAGAAGAACAAGCAAAGGUUGCUAAUGAGAACCUGUCCACACUAUCUGCUACUGUAAAAUCCAAACAGGAACUAGCAUAUGAAUUCCUCGGUAAUUUAUUGAUGGAGACUCAAGGAAUAAAUGUGGAGAUGGAUCAGUGGAGAAACUCGGUUGACAGUGCUCUUUCUUUUAUUGAUGAACUCUUUCAGAAUCUCUGCAUCAUGGCACAAGGCAUUCGUGAAGUAAAUCACUCUGCUCAUGAAGAUAGUGCACGGUCCUGUUCUGUGAUCAGGGACUAUGAAAAACUAUCAACCUGUUUGAUGGACAAAGUUUACAAACUUGAAUUGGAGAAGAAACUAUUGGAGGAACAGUCCCAAGACCAACAAAAUGAGAUUUAUAAGCUGAAGGCCAAUCUGGAAAGCUGUGAGAAGGCCAUAGAUGACUGUACUCUUCAACAUGAAUUGGAGAAGGAUGCCAUUCUUUUAGAGCUCCUAAACCUCCAGAAGGAAGUAUCUAUCUUGUCAUCAUCUUCUUUGAUGAAAGAAAAGGAAUCUAUCCGAAAGGAACUUGAUAGAACUAAAUCAAAGUUAAGAGAGACGGAGGACAAACUUAAGAAUUCCAUUCAGGAGAAAACAAAACUUCAGAGUGAGAAAGCAGAGGCCCACAAAGAAAUUAAGAAAUUGCAAAGCCAGAGAACUUUGCUUGAACGUGAUUUACGGAAACGUGAUUCAGCUACUGUUGACAAAAGGCAUGAACUGAAUUCCAUGCCACAGGAAAGUUCUGGUGCUUUUGGUCACAUGCAGGAGAACUACCAAAAUCUUGAGAUGCAUGCUUUUGAUAUGGAUGCUGAAAUUUAUUCUUUACAAGAAGCUCUUGUCACUUCAAUUGAUGAAAAGGAUGAAGCGUUGUCUAAAGUAGGGCUUAUAACAUCUGAACUAGAAGAUCUUGCGAAUAAACUGAACUUAGCAGAAUCAGAAAGGAACUCCUUUAGCAACGAGAUCACACUCUUGACUGAAAAGUUAAUUGCAUCUGAAUCUUCCCUUAAAAGUUUGGAGACUUCUCUCAAUUCUGUAUCAAGGGAAAAGGAAGAUUUGGGAAUGCAACUUACUGAUGCCCUUUUGGACAUGGAAUCUGAAAGAUCAAUUUGGACAGCAAAGGAGAAAGAAUAUGUAGAAGCUAAUCAUAGAUUGAACAUCUGCCUUGAUGAGAACCACAAACUUUCAGAAGAUUUGAUGAAGGUGAUGCAAGAGCUAGGGUGUUGUAGAGAACAAUGCAAAACAAUGGAGGAUAAACUGGUGCUUUCCAUGAAGAGUGACAUGAAUGAGAAAGUAACGGAAUGCAGCGAGGCUUGUAAAGCAUCCGACCAAAUUGUGGAGAAUGGAGGAACCAUUCCUGGUGCUGCGUGUGAAAAUAUUUCUAUUGACUCUAGUUCGAACAGGAGCUCGACAAACAACUAUUGUUGAUUACUGAAGAGCGCAAUUGUUUACUCUCUGAGACACAACAGAUGAGAUCCAUGGUCGCUGAAGCAGAGGUUUUGAAAGAGAAUUGUAACAGAAAGUUAAUACAUGCCAAAGAUACAAUAGAUGAGUUGAGCUCUAGGAUAUCUGUCAUGGAAGCCAAUCUGAAAAAUGAUACUGCGUCUAAUAACAAAGAGAAGACAAAGCUUCGCAUGGAGAUUCGAUGGCUGCGUCCACAACUUGACGCCCAUCGUGGUCGGCUCAAAGAAGCGAUGAAUGAGAUGAAGACCAUGGAUGCCAAAUACCAAGAAGCAUGCACCACGCUGAAGAAGGACCUUUCUCAGCAUGGUCGCGAGAUCCUGAGGUUGAGAGAGAUGCUUAAAGAAUCACAGAGCGCAUCAAACUGAGGCUAUAAGUUUCUCAUAUCUAAUAGCUCACGUAGCAAAAUGCAGAUAUGUCGUCAGCCCUAUGGAAGCACUCGUUGUUGCGUUUGUUCGCUUCGGACCUUCCUGGUACCGUGGUUCACUGACUUUCUUUGAGGUGUGGUGCGAUUCCAUGCGUCAGCUACUUCUAAUCCAAUGCGCUUGCGCUACCGUAAAGAAUCCUGAUGUAUGGGGGCAUUUUGCUGUUCAAACUGUACCUUUUCUUUCUAUUUAGUCUAUAGUGUAACAACUACGAUAAGUAGCAGGAAGAUUGAGCGAAGCUUGAGUUAUCUAUGAAACGAUGAAAAUGUCUAACGCACUGAAUUAGUCUUCUUUAA